Molecule: transfer RNA, 51 nt
Filed under: Pseudogarypus banksi
Lineage: Eukaryota; Metazoa; Arthropoda; Arachnida; Pseudoscorpiones; Pseudogarypidae
Description: tRNA-Gln
Source: RNAcentral
AAUUAUUAAGUGUUUAGCACAGAAAAUUUUGAUUUUUCAGAAAAUUAAUUU